GUUGUAUGGUUAAGUGACUAAGCGUACACGGUGGAUGCCUUGGCAGUCAGAGGCGAUGAAGGACGUAAUAACUUGCGAUAAGCCCAGAUUAGGUAGUAAUAACCGUUUGAGUCUGGGAUUUCCGAAUGGGGAAACCCACGUGCAUAAGCACGUAUCGUUGCGUGAAUACAUAGCGCAACGAGGCAAACCCGGGGAACUGAAACAUCUAAGUACCCGGAGGAGUAGAAAUCAACCGAGAUUCCGAAAGUAGCGGCGAGCGAAAUUGGAGUAGCCCUUAAGCUUUUAAUGAUGCAGGUGAAGAGUCUGGAAAGUCUCGCGAUACAGGGUGAUAGCCCCGUAACCGACACAUCAUAAUCAGUGAAAUCGAGUAGGGCGGGACACGUGAUAUCCUGUCUGAAUAUGGGGGGACCAUCCUCCAAGGCUAAAUACUACUGACUGACCGAUAGUGAACCAGUACCGUGAGGGAAAGGCGAAAAGAACCCCUGUGAGGGGAGUGAAAUAGAACCUGAAACCGUGUACGUACAAGCAGUAGGAGCAGGCUUUGUCCUGUGACUGCGUACCUUUUGUAUAAUGGGUCAGCGACUUAAUUUUAGUAGCAAGGUUAACCGUUUAGGGGAGCCGUAGGGAAACCGAGUCUUAACUGGGCGUACAGUUGCUAGGAUUAGACCCGAAACCAGGUGAUCUAGCCAUGGGCAGGUUGAAGGUUGAGUAACAUCAACUGGAGGACCGAACCGACUAAUGUUGAAAAAUUAGCGGAUGACUUGUGGCUAGGGGUGAAAGGCCAAUCAAACCUGGAGAUAGCUGGUUCUCCCCGAAAGCUAUUUAGGUAGCGCCUCGGACGAAUACUACUGGGGGAGAGCACUGUUAAGGCUAGGGGGUCAUCCCGACUUACCAACCCUUUGCAAACUCCGAAUACCAGUAAGUACUAUCCGGGAGACACACGGCGGGUGCUAACGUCCGUCGUGGAGAGGGAAACAACCCAGACCGCCAGCUAAGGUCCCAAAGUAUAGCUAAGUGGGAAACGAUGUGGGAAGGGCUUAGACAGCUAGGAUGUUGGCUUAGAAGCAGCCAUCAUUUAAAGAAAGCGUAAUAGCUCACUAGUCGAGUCGGCCUGCGCGGAAGAUGUAACGGGGCUAAGCUAUACACCGAAGCUGCGGCUACGUACUUUGUACGUGGGG
This 1178-nucleotide ribosomal RNA is filed under the name Vibrio genomosp. F10 str. 9ZB36. RNAcentral's name for it is "bacterial LSU rRNA". It matches the Rfam family "Bacterial large subunit ribosomal RNA", at positions 1 to 1228 of the family's 2925-position model. Lineage: Bacteria; Pseudomonadati; Pseudomonadota; Gammaproteobacteria; Vibrionales; Vibrionaceae. The record is from RNAcentral.